AGCAGCCGCGGUAAUUCCAGCUCCAAUAGCGUAUAUUAAAGUUGUUGCAGUUAAAAAGCUCGUAGUUGAAUUUCGGGAUCAAGGAAUCGGUCAUGCCUUGGUAUGUACUGGUUUUAUUGGUUCUCACCUUCUAAAGAACCAUAAUGUCAUUUAUUUGAUGUUAUGGGGAAUUAGGACUGUUACCUUGAAAAAAUUAGAGUGUUUAAAGCAAGCUUACGCUUGAAUACAUUAGCAUGGAAUAAUGAAAUAGGACAUCAGAUUCUAUUUUGUUGGUUUCUACGAUCGAUGUAAUGAUUAAUAGGGAUAGUUGGGGGCAUUAGUAUUCAAUUGUCAGAGGUGAAAUUCUUGGAUUUAUUGAAGACUAACUACUGCGAAAGCAUUUGCCAAGGAUGUUUUCAUUAAUCAAGAACGAAAGUUAGGGGAUCGAAGACGAUCAGAUACCGUCGUAGUCUUAACCAUAAACUAUGCCGACUAGGGAUCGGAUGAUGUUAAUUUUUAAUGACUCAUUCGGCUACCG
RNAcentral lists this ribosomal RNA (517 nucleotides) under uncultured Glomus. RNAcentral's name for it is "SSU rRNA". It matches the Rfam family "Eukaryotic small subunit ribosomal RNA", at positions 569 to 1089 of the family's 1831-position model. The record is from RNAcentral. Lineage: Eukaryota; Fungi; Glomeromycota; Glomeromycetes; Glomerales; Glomeraceae.